UACCGCACAACUUCCGUUCCUGGCGGUGGCCAUUUGAUUGGGAGAGCCAAGUUAUUGAUUCAUUUUGCAGAAGUCUCGGCGACUAGCUAUCACAUUCUCGGCUAGAGCCGCUGAUUCUAUGAUUCUACUCAGCCGUCUUCCGAUCAGCCUCGCCGGACAAAGCAAAAGCCACCGAUGACGAAGUCUCGCUUGCGAAAGUAUGUUUCUGACUCUAUAUGGCUAUGGAUUCUUGUGAGUAUUGACUAGGUAGCACUUGGAUUGGAAUUUGUGAAUUCUUGUAAAUAUGUUGUAAAUAUAUUUCUCUUGUGAGUGCUUGUGUUGAUAAUCCCAUUCGGAACAGAAUUGUAAUUUGAAUAUUUAGGAGAGAAAUAUGCGGCCAAAAACGGAGGGAAGCGAUUCGACUUGGGCCAGGGAUCACUGCAGAAGUCGGGAAGGGAGAGAAUGCUCUGUAUGAAGUCCGGCUUAUUUCUAACACUAAUCCCGGUGCUUCACCAUGAUAAAGGAUAUGGUCUACUACAAAGGCAUGCACGUGAAGUGAGAAGGUAAAGCUGCUCCCAACUUUCACCAUCCCAAUAAACGAGAAAUGAUAUCAACACUAAAGCAGAGAACCCCAAAACUAAAAGCCUUAACCUUUCUACACAGGCAGGCAGGCAGGCCUGAGGUCCUUCUUCAUGAUUGCUCUUAAUUUCUUAGCGCAAACACAAACCCCCUCCCUAACACCUGCAAAAAUAUGCCUGAAAAUGAAACACAAAGCGAAUCUCCUUUCCUUUUCCCAUUUCCUCAGUAACUUUUCAGCACCCUUUCAAAUGAGAUGUGUCUAGAAAACAAGACGAGUGGAAUGGGUCAAUGGGGAUGCGGUGAAGGAUUCUUAAAGAAAAUUACUCAUUGUUUAUGUAUCUUUUCAGGUAACUUUAUUUCUCUACGAGCUAUAAAUAUUUUUAUAAAUUGUCUAAUAAGUUCUUAAACUUUUUAUUUAGUAUUUAAUAUUUUUUUGAUAAAUCUAUUGGAAGAUAUGUGUCCAUGACAUUGGAGGAGAUGGAGUGGUAGUGUAGAAGGUAGGGGUAGAGAGGUCCCGCUUCAGUGUUUAUCUCAUCAUUAUCUUUCUCCAUUUUCGU
Molecule: non-coding RNA, 1115 nt
Organism: Cucurbita pepo subsp. pepo (vegetable marrow)
Lineage: Eukaryota; Viridiplantae; Streptophyta; Magnoliopsida; Cucurbitales; Cucurbitaceae
Source: RefSeq, a predicted model, not a curated record